GCAUGGACGAAUUCUGUUCCAGCUGUUCUGUGGUGGAUACAGUCAGACACCAUGCAAUAGCCAGGUCUCAUUUCUGCUAAAUGAGUGUGAGUGCUUCCCUCGGCCUCAUCCAACUGUGCAGGAAUGAGUACAAAU
RNAcentral lists this small nucleolar RNA (135 nucleotides) under Cottoperca gobio. RNAcentral describes it as "Small nucleolar RNA SNORA15 (ENSCGOG00000015186.1)". It matches the Rfam family "Small nucleolar RNA SNORA15". From Rfam's summary of the family: ACA15 is a member of the H/ACA class of snoRNA that guide the sites of modification of uridines to pseudouridines. The record is from Rfam by way of RNAcentral. Lineage: Eukaryota; Metazoa; Chordata; Actinopteri; Perciformes; Bovichtidae.